UCCGAUAUGGUGUAACGGCUAACAUUGCCGCCUUUCAGUACAUCAACGCGGCAGCUCGGGGUUCGAUUCCCCGUAUCGGAG
Cytidiella melzeri is the source of this 81-nucleotide non-coding RNA. The record is from the annotation of a GenBank genome assembly. NCBI's taxonomy places the organism in Eukaryota, Fungi, Basidiomycota, Agaricomycetes, Polyporales, Irpicaceae.